AAGUCGUAACAAGGUUUCCGUAGGUGAACCUGCGGAAGGAUCAUUAUCACGUAAUAAUCCACGUUAUAAACCCUUCUUUGAAUUGUUUAAAACACUAAAUUUCUGGAACAGCUUUCGUAGCUGGAAUGCUUUUGGAUUGGGUCAUAGAAAUUUUAAUAGAAUAAUUUGCAGUGGGGGUGGUAACACACUCAUUGCAUUUAAAUGGGAAAAUUAUUGUAAUUUGAGAUCCCAGAGUUCUGUUAAUAGUUUAUGACCAGCAAUUCGUUAUGCGUCUCAGAAAUUGUAACUCAAAUUACAUUAAUAGAAUUAACUAUUUUAACCCCUUUUGAUAAAUUGAACUAACGAUUCUCUACUCUAGCCUUAAAAAGCGUGAGAUUGAAUAAAUACGAAACAAAGAACAACUCUUAGCAACGGAUAUCUUGGUUCUC
Molecule: unclassified non-coding RNA, 428 nt
Filed under: fungal sp.
Lineage: Eukaryota; Fungi
Description: partial internal transcribed spacer region
Rfam family: Eukaryotic small subunit ribosomal RNA (bases 1-46)
Source: RNAcentral